AUGGGUNGUAAACUUCUUUUAUAAGGGAAUAAAGUGAGGGACGUGUCCCUUUUUGUAUGUACCUUAUGAAUAAGGAUCGGCUAACUCCGUGCCAGCAGCCGCGGUAAUACGGAGGAUCCGAGCGUUAUCCGGAUUUAUUGGGUUUAAAGGGAGCGUAGGUUGACAUAUAAGUCAGCUGUGAAAGUUUACGGCUCAACCGUGAAAUUGCAGUUGAUACUGUAUGUCUUGAGUGUACAAGAGGUGGGCGGAAUUCGUGGUGUAGCGGUGAAAUGCUUAGAUAUCACGAAGAACUCCAAUUGCGAAGGCAGCUCACUGGGGUACAACUGACACUGAGGCUCGAAAGUGUGGGUAUCAAACAGGAUUAGAUACCCUGGUAGUCCACACAGUAAACGAUGAAUACUCGCUGUUUGCGAUAUACAGUAAGCGGCCAAGCGAAAGCAUUAAGUAUUCCACCUGGGGAGUACGCCGGCAACGGUGAAACUCAAAGGAAUUGACGGGGGCCCGCACAAGCGGAGGAACAUGUGGUUUAAUUCGAUGAUACGCGAGGAACCUUACCCGGGCUUGAAUUGCAGAGGAACAUAGUUGAAAGAUUAUGGCCGCAAGGUCUCUGUGAAGGUGCUGCAUGGUUGUCGUCAGCUCGUGCCGUGAGGUGUCGGCUUAAGUGCCAUAACGAGCGCAACCCUUAUCAUUAGUUACUAACAGGUGAUGCUGAGGACUCUAGUGAGACUGCCGUCGUAAGAUGUGAGGAAGGUGG
This 754-nucleotide ribosomal RNA is filed under the name uncultured Bacteroides sp. Its description in RNAcentral is "bacterial SSU rRNA". It matches the Rfam family "Bacterial small subunit ribosomal RNA", at positions 418 to 1176 of the family's 1533-position model. Lineage: Bacteria; Pseudomonadati; Bacteroidota; Bacteroidia; Bacteroidales; Bacteroidaceae. The record is from RNAcentral.